Molecule: long non-coding RNA, 293 nt
Organism: Dermochelys coriacea (leatherback sea turtle)
Lineage: Eukaryota; Metazoa; Chordata; Testudines; Dermochelyidae
Exons: 3
Source: RefSeq, a predicted model, not a curated record
CUAAGGCAAAUAUAUUAGGAGAGAAUGAACAUAGGACAGGAUUGGAUUGCAAAACCUUUACAGAUAGUCUUAUAGUGAACAUUCAUAUUGAUGCUGGUUUCUAGUGGGAUAGGGAAAUCAGGGAUUCUGAUAAAUGAAGUGAGGUAGCUACCUUUUAUGGACACCCCGCCACCCAGUUAGCUAUAAAGUCCCUCUUGAUGGCUGUUCUCUGCUUUCUUUACCUGUAAAGGGUUAACAAAGUCCCCCAGGUUUUUUAAAAUUAAAAAAAGAAAAGGAGUACUUGUGGCACCUUA